Non-coding RNA from Camelina sativa (false flax), 640 nucleotides. Lineage: Eukaryota; Viridiplantae; Streptophyta; Magnoliopsida; Brassicales; Brassicaceae. The record is from RefSeq and is a predicted model, not a curated record.
GUUAAUUCUUUUAUAUAAAAAAACAAGUUUUUUUUUGUUUUCCUCUUCCUCUUCUCUCGCUCUCGCGAUAUUCUCAACCCUGACAAUCGAAGCUUUUGCUUAACCGAACUCUAAUCGGAGAUUUUGAUUAAUCAAUCUCCAAUUGGAGCUUUUGAUUCACCAAAUUGAAGCGCUACAUUCACCAACCGGCAGAUUUUGAUGAACCAAUCUCGAUUAUACAAAUCUUUCAACAUCAGCAAAAUUACAAGCAGAAGAGCAUGUCCUGCAAUGGGCCAUGACUAGCUGGACAAGAAGCUGCUGCAGUACAUUCAUGGUUUAGCUGCUAAAGGAGUUCAUUUUAUUCAUCGCCCAGGACCAACGCUUCAGGAUCUUGGGUUCUUUCUUCUUCCGGUAUACUGUGAAUUUGGUGGUGUUCUGUAUAGACAAGAAGUUACCAGAGUUACCAGAUCAGACAGCUGUGUUGCUCCCAGUAAUCACAAAAGACAGAACCAAAGAAGAGAACCACAAGCUGUUCAAUGAGAACGGUGUUAAUCCUGCUGAUUGGGUAACCAUCUGAUUUAGUGGUGCAAAAUUUUAAAAAUAAGAACCCCAAUUACAGCUUCACUAUUGGAGGAGCAAAAUUUUAAUUACUCUUUUAGGA